UCGAGCCCCACGAUGGGCUCCCUGUUCACUGGAGAGCCUGCUUCUCCGUCUCCCUCCUGCUUGUGCUCUUUCACUACCUCUCUCUCAAAUAAAAAUCUUUAAAAAAACAAAAAAAUUAACUCACUGCGGUAUGACUCCAGUUGAAGUGCCGAACAGCCUUGUAGGAAACCAUAAAUCUCUCUAGCAAUCUUCUAAGAAAAAAUGUUGACAUUGCAUGAAUUUGUUUAGCAUUUAAAAUCACAGCUACCAUUUGCUGAGUGUUUCUGCUACUGUGUGCCAAGUACAGUGCUGGAUACUCUAGAUACAUUAUGUCUGCUCCUCUCAGAAAAUCGCCUGCAAAGGUAGGUGUUAUUCCUGAUCUUCUUACCAUCUCCAUCUUAUAUAUGAGAAAUUAAGUGUCAUGUUCAAGAUCGUUGGCAAGUUCCUCCACAGGAAUAUACUUAUUCCAAUUCAGAGUAACAACAUAAAAAUUGAGCGUAAGUUUACUUUAGAAAAAGGAGAAUGGCUGUUAUUUUUUCUGUCCUCCAGGCCUUCAGCCUAUUUUUUAAAAAGGCCCUGUAGUAAAGAUCUUUGGAGGUGUCUUUAAAAAGCUGAUACUCACUUUCUUACCUACCAUCCUCACUCCAGCCAUGGGAUCCUAACAGCCACUUUUAAGAUUUUUUCCUACUGGUCUCUGUUGAUUCAGCUGAGAGUCACCUAAACCAAGCUGGGCCGAUCAAGAAUUUCCUCACUCUUUCCCUGGGAAUUUUAGAAUUGAGAUGGGAGUUUUUCUGUAGAGUUGGAACAUGAGGACAUUUUCAGAUUUCCCUGUGGGCCAACUAGCAGUUAACCCCUUGUGUUGAGCAAGAAAAAUAGAAUCUAUGUAUUAAGCAGAACUGAGAGAUGGAGAAGAAACUCCGUGGGUUCCUAGAGAUUUUCCAGUUUCCAUUCCCGUCCUUUCUAAAGCUGUAUUCUUACCCUUGGGUUCUUUGUAUAAGCUAUACCCAAUUCUAUAAUUCCACUUUGAAUUUUAUACUAGCUGGAGUUUUUCUGUUAUUUGUACCAAAAAUAGUCCUGAUACACUGUCAUUCCACUUUUCAUUUAGCCUUCAUGCUUUCUAGCUAUUUUCACAAGAAGGAAGGGCAGGGAGCAACCAGGGACAAUGUCCCAGAGUUCUAAGUAGUGUCAUGAAGACUAAUCCACAAUAAAGAGGCUUUUAAAAACUUCAGAGCAAGAACAGGAAGAAUGUGCCUGCUAUUUUGUGGUGUAACGUCGACAGUAAGACCAUAGAAUUGUUCAAUUUCUAUGCAUACGGUAGUUAACACUAUAAGAAAGAAGCACAAUACUCAAACUGAACAAGGUAGAAAAGCAUGGAAAUGAAGGUGUUAAGUCCUGAGGCUAUGGUAAGAGAGAACUGUAAAUGUUUCAUCUCUGGGUCCAUAGUCCCAAAUCCAAUUGCUGUCAUGUUAUGAAACUGCAAAUUACAAUUUUUGAGGCAUUCUAAAGAAGAAAAUGAUCAAAUGAACAGCAUUUGAAGUGGGAAAGAGGUGGGUUCUGGAAACCACUUGAGUAUGAUGUUCCUGACAUGAUUCUAGUUGACUUGUGUGCACGUAGAAGUGAUAUUCCUUAGGAGACCUACCAUUUCAGUGAAUCUGGAUUUCAGCAGAGUACUUGAGGAAGCCUGUGUGAUAUGCUAGUGGAUUAAAUGGAGAAAUGUGGCUGGUUGGUCUGCAGUGGAGCAAUGGAGCAAAGGCUGCCUGCUGGAGGAGUCCCAUGAUGGUGGACAUAGCUAGGCCCUUGCGUUCCAGACUUGCUGAGAAGUUGAGGCAUAGCUUACGUUUGCUAACAGCUGAAGGUGAUCAACUAUCCACAUCCCUGUUUACAGAAAAAAGCAAAUAGGCAAUUAGCAAGUAACUUAAUAAACCGGAGAAGAAUGAAAGCUAAGUGUCCACAGGCGGCAGUGGGAGGAAGCGAGAAGCAAGCAGAUUCAAGCCCGAGAGGCUUCUGCAUGAGAGACAGUAGGUAUCCCCACAGCCCGGUGAGGUGGAGCCGAUGAAAGUCAGCUAAGAAGCAGCAAGACCCUCCUCCUUACCCUCUUCAACUACAGCAUGUUACCACUUCACCCUCCACCCUACAGAACGCUGGCGCUUCUGCUCGCUGACAAAGGGAAGAAAGGUAAAGGCUCCGCCCACCAAGGUGGGAUGCUAAUCACAGAACUCGCCGGCCGCGGGAAGGCUUGCAGCUGGGAGCGAUGGGGAUCACCUCGGGGAAGCUGCAAACCCCAGAGCCGCAGGGAGCCCUGCAAAGAGGGCUGUUUUAUCUGAGGGCCAGAACGUGGAAAAGGCUGGAAAGCACUACGUUUGGGUCACUCUCCAGGCGCAGAUUAAAGCCAGCUUUCGGAGCAGACUGGCUGGAUGCCGCAUCGUGCCUGUUACCCUGGUCCUGUUGGCAAGAAAACAGACCUAACGCUGUUCAAAACUACCUGCAGUGCUGAGGACCCACUUUGUCUUUAUGAAUAUUGUCUAUUCCUCCAGUUUAAAGAAAUCUAAAGAUUAGUGGGGAGAGCAGCUGGAUGAAGAGAGAACUUCUGCAAUGAGAAGUCUGAGAGGCAGAAGGCAGCCCUGUCUAAACCCCCUACCUCUUCCAGCCACCUAUCUUCUCGGGGAAGCCUCUGCAGCCGGUUUUUCGUCAGCUCAAGUUGGAGGCCAUCAAACCUGCACUUAAACCAGCGAUGAGCUUCUUCCAGGUUUAUGUUUCUUCUACAGAAUCCAGAAAAUCUAGGUGCUCUGAUGCUGGGUUUCAGUACACAUCAUUCACUGCUCUUCUCUGAGAAGACCCCGCGGAAGCCUCUCACCUGGCACCGGCUCUCCAGUUCCUGCC
Long non-coding RNA from Ailuropoda melanoleuca (giant panda), 2859 nucleotides. RefSeq lists it as uncharacterized. Lineage: Eukaryota; Metazoa; Chordata; Mammalia; Carnivora; Ursidae. The record is from RefSeq and is a predicted model, not a curated record. The transcript has 5 exons.